This 752-nucleotide long non-coding RNA is filed under the name Octopus vulgaris (common octopus). The record is from RNAcentral. Lineage: Eukaryota; Metazoa; Mollusca; Cephalopoda; Octopoda; Octopodidae.
UAUAUAUGUAUGUAUUUAUGUAUGUUUAGGUAUGUGUAUAUAUAUAUAUAUAUAUAUAUGUAUGUUUUUAUGUAUGUUUAGGUAUGUGUAUAUAUAUAUAUAUAUAUAUGUAUGUAAUUAUGUGUAUAUAUAUAUAUAUAUAUGUAUGUAAUUAUGUAUGUUUAGGUAUGAGUAUAUAUAUGUAUAUAUAUAUAUAUACAUAUGUAUUUAUUUGCAUAUAUAUAUGUAUUUAUUUGCAUAUAUAUAUGUAUUUAUUUGCAUAUAUAUAUGUAUUUAUAUGUAUAUAUAUAUAUGCAUAUAUGAUCACAUAAUGAAAGUAAGAAAAAGCGAAUAGCUUCCCAAUUUUAUUGCUGCAUUUAACUGCCUUAUCCUUGUUCUCUAGCUUUAGUAGCUUCGCUUAGAGUACUAGCACUUUAACAUCCUCCGUCCUACAGGUCAACUCAUAUCAACCUGUUGUUAAUCAUUUGUAGAAAGGAAAUAUAAAUACGUCAAUGUUGUGACACAGUCAUUGUAAUGCUUGUAUUUAUGUAUCCAUUCCCCAUUUUAUUGUUUUUUUUAAAGAUAUUUUGUUGUUUUUUUCUUAAAAAACCCCAAUAUUGUUGUAUUUUUACAAAACACUUUUUUUUUUUAUUAUUUCAUAAAUCUAAACCUUAUGUACAAUUCGUUUAAUACUUUAUAAAUGGAAUAAAUAAAUGCAUUCCUUUGAUGUUGUUUGUUAUUGUUUAAUUGUUUAUCACCAGUUUAGCUUUAAC